Molecule: ribosomal RNA, 635 nt
Filed under: uncultured bacterium
Lineage: Bacteria
Description: bacterial SSU rRNA
Rfam family: Bacterial small subunit ribosomal RNA
Source: RNAcentral
CUGGCGGCGUGCUUAUACAUGCAGUCGAACGAGAAAUCCCGAUUUCGGUUGGGAAAGUAAAGUGGCGAACGGGUGAGUAACACGUGGAUAACCUACCCUUAAAUCUGGGAUAAUCCUCCGAAAGGAAGUCUGAUACCGGAUAAUAUCGCUGGAUGGCAUCUUCCGGCGAUCAAAGGCGGGGCAACCUGCCGUUUAUGGAUGGGUCCGCGUUCCAUUAGCUUGUUGGUGGGGUAACGGCCUACCAAGGCUACGAUGGAUAGCCGGCUUGAGAGAGUGAUCGGCCACACUGGGACUGAGAUACGGCCCAGACUCCUACGGGAGGCAGCAGUAGGGAAUAUUGCGCAAUGGACGAAAGUCUGACGCAGCAACGCCGCGUGGGUGAUGAAGCAUCUUGGUGCGUAAAACCCUGUCAGUGGGGAAGAACCGUGUAAGGAGUAACUGCCUUGCACCUGACGGUACCCACAGAGGAAGUCCCGGCUAACUCCGUGCCAGCAGCCGCGGUAAUACGGGGGGGACAAGCGUUGUUCGGAUUUACUGGGCGUAAAGGGCGCGUAGGCGGACUUUCAAGUCGGAUGUGAAAUCUCCGGGCUUAACUCGGAGCCUGCAUCCGAUACUGUCGGUCUUGAGUAUAUCAG